GCCUUAUCCCCAAAUCGCUUCUUCUCUGCUGAUUCCAUACCGCCUCCUCUCCCUGGCCGAUCCAUGGUGCUCGUCUCUAGCUCAUGUCUUGCCGCCGGCCGAGCCCCUCCCCAGCGCCCUUGGAGCCGGCGUCCUCUGCCCUCAUCUCAUUCCCCGACGCCGCCCUCUCCCCCUCAGUGCUCUGCUGGUCGGCGUCUUCUCCCUGCCCGACGUUUCUAGCGCCAUGGCCGCCGCGCCUUGGGUCGCCUGCUCCACUGCGCCGAUCCGCCCAUCUCCCUGCUGCCGCUCUCCCAUGGCGCGUCCCUGCAUCUUGCUUCAGCUCGCUCUGCCAUCUCCCUUGGCGCCCUAGCCCCAACGCUGAGCUCCCUACCCGGCCGCGCCCCUGGUGGUUGAGCUCGCCGAGCUUCCUUUUCUAUCGCUCGUCCUCGCCCAUUCGGCGCCCUCAUCUCAAGCCAGUCCAGCCUCUCUAAUCGCCACUCUCCCCUAUCCCCUUGCUGUUAGCACAUGGCGAGCUAACCCCAUGUGCCAGUAGAGUUCGUCAUUCCCUAAGCAGCACCUCCCUCCAUGGAUGCCUCGUUGUCGACUUGUGCAGUUCAUAUUUAUCGGUGAGGUCCCUUUUGUCUUGUGUUACUUAUCUCUUUAAUUGAUACAUGUGUGCUUAUGUGUGAGAUGUGAAGGGGAAAUCCCAGGAUUUGGUGGAGAAGAAGCACAGUUCAAUUUGACGCCCGCCAGGUGUUCGACGAAAUGUUCGAAUUGGGUUUCGUCGUUGAUUUUGACGCCUGCCAGGUGUUCAUCUCAAACUACAAUCACCGUUGAAAAUCCGAGGCGACGGGAAAGUUAGGUGGCAUCACCAGUGAUGGCGUUCGAUCCUUGAAAUGUACAUUAUGUGAUAAGAGUAAGCGUCACUAGAGAAUGGGAAUUCCAAGGCGCAACAAAUGAUGGUCCUCUCCAUCAUGUCAACAUGAUCAUAUCCGAUGAACCGAAAAACAAGAAUCGUGAGUGCAAUGGCAAAUGGAAGGUGAAGGCCCUUUUGAUUGACAACUUAGGAAAAGAUGGAAUGGAACUCAAAUUUUGGUGGUCGGUCAAGUGUGUAGAGUUGAAAUCAUAUAUACUUAGUUAGGCUCAAAUUUAGCGCAAUUCAGUUAGUAUUUUAGUUUGGAUUUAGAGUACACUUAUGUAUGAGUUAUUUAGCAAUGCUUAUUUGUGAGAUAUUGAAUGAUACUUAUCUACAUUAUAUUAACUAUAGUGUUGUU
Zea mays is the source of this 1253-nucleotide RNA transcript. It is a transcript of the gene named protein-like pseudogene, with no coding region annotated. The transcript is spliced from 4 exons. The record is from RefSeq and is marked validated. Lineage: Eukaryota; Viridiplantae; Streptophyta; Magnoliopsida; Poales; Poaceae.